Long non-coding RNA from Solanum lycopersicum (tomato), 1010 nucleotides. RefSeq lists it as uncharacterized. Lineage: Eukaryota; Viridiplantae; Streptophyta; Magnoliopsida; Solanales; Solanaceae. The record is from RefSeq and is a predicted model, not a curated record.
UAAGGUGAUGAAUCAAUUAGUUUUGGGGAAGUUCUAAUAAUUUUUCAGACUUUUUUAGUCUCACUAUUUUUCAUUGCCUUUUCCGGCCAUCCUCGCCGGAGCAUUUUCCUACGGGCCACCAAAACUUCACUGUUCCUCCUCCUCUCUUCCACUAAAUCACCAUCAAAAUACGACUAAAUCCAUCUGUUAACAACAACAACAACAACGAAAACUACCCAACAACACAACAGCAAACCAAAUACACCCAUCUCCCUCUUCUUCAUUUUCCAGAUGAAAACUCGCCGGAACACCGCGAACCUGACCCUUCUUCAAACCAAAACAUCACCAGAAAACACCUAAAACAGCCACCCAACAAUAUCAAACCCAAACCAAUCGGACAACGCCUGAAACACCACCAAACAACCACCAAAAAAGGGACCUCCAUCCGAUCCUAAACCCCAUUCAUUUUUCUCCGUUUUCCGGCGAACAUUCCACUAACCAACCUUUUCCGACCCCAAAACUACCCAAACCCAUUCUUUCUUUUUUCUCCGGCGAAACCUAAUCGGAGAACCACCAUCGCUCCACCAUUUUCUCCGGUAAGGUCCAUUUUUCUAUUUUCCUCCAUAGAUACUGGCAGCAGAUAAAAAACCACCACCAACCUCCCUUAAAUCUAGACCAAACAGCAAUGAAGAAGCUCGAAACCCUGCUGUCACCACCGCCUCAAACCAACAAUGAACCAGGAUACCACCGAAAAGCAACCCCACCAUUGCUCCGGCAGAAACAAAAUGAAACCAUGCCCUCCUUGUUUUGAUUCGGCUAUUCAGGUAUCCGGAGAUGCUUUCCAUUGGAGUAAUUCAAAUGAAGGUCGAAUUAUAUUAUUUUAUUAUUAAUUAUAUAUAUUAUCGACGUUAGGCUAAUUUUAGCUUGUGUCUUAUAUUAUUAUUUUAUUUUAUUAUUUGUGUAUGUUACAUGUUAUUAUACCUGUAUAUUAUUUUUAUCUCUUUAAUUCGAAAAAAUGAGUUCAGUCGGGA